Long non-coding RNA from Magnolia sinica, 4140 nucleotides. RefSeq lists it as uncharacterized. The record is from RefSeq and is a predicted model, not a curated record. Lineage: Eukaryota; Viridiplantae; Streptophyta; Magnoliopsida; Magnoliales; Magnoliaceae. The transcript is spliced from 4 exons.
UUUCUGAAACAGGUUAGAAAUAUCUUCUAAGUACAAAACGUGAUUUUUCUUUAAUAAUUGUUUCCUUUUCAUGUAUUAGUAAUUGAUAGACAAACCUGUGACUGAAAGAAUCCUCUUCAUCUUAUUGACCAAUGUCUGUGAGAAUCUUCUAAAUCAAUAGACAAGUCAAACAUCUCAUCGAUUAUUUGCGAUGAUCUCCAUGAUCCCAGGCUGGUCCUCAUUGCCUAAUACAUAUGGUGGUUUUUUUUUUUUUUUUGGGUAAGCUAACAACCAUUUUAUUAGAAAGAAAACAAUGCAAGACAAACCCAAAGAAGAAGGGGCAAAGACUUAGAUGAUAGGAAAUAUCUAUCACAGUACAAGGAAAAACCCUCCUCCCAAUUUUCUCCUGUUUGCUCUUUUCUGUACCUGGCAAUGUCCUCAAGGACCUUAAAGGCCACGGUCCAGUUGACUAUUCUACCACUAGCUCUUCAAAGGGUAAGUUCUUGCAGAGUGUCAUUUGCUGUGUCCUUUCCAUAUUGAUUGUGGCCCAGCUAGUAGGGCAAGAUGACACAAAGUCAUCUCCUUUUUCCCUUAUAGCCUUCAUGCCAUGCAUGAAAAAGCCUCAAUCACGCUACAAUUACCCCCGACAUCACCUGUACUAUCCCAAACAGGUCGGAAAAUCUCUGCUAGGUCAUAAUCAUCUAAUACUUAUCCCAACUAAUUGGGGUCAGGAAUCGAAUCCCAUUCCGCCAUUCCACUCUAUCACUGACCAUAUCCAUAGUUAAAUCAUAGGUCCCCAAGUCUUUCUUACAAUCUCCUUUUGCAUCCUUUUGGGCCUUUCCCUUGCCAUUUUAGAGCCUUCAACUUGAACCAACUCACUCCUAACCAGUGCUGAAAAUCUCUGCCAAGUGCCUCCGAAAUGGAAGUGUUCCAUCAAUUCCUUUUUCUAAAGGCAUAAAAUACAAACAUUAAUAUGAACGUAUUUUGGCCUCUCAAAGGAUUGAUGGUGAGCUUUUUAUCCUUCACAACUAACCAAUCAAUACAAUCACCGGGGGAAAUCCUGGAUUAUUCCAAAUGUGUUCUACUAGGGUAGUUGCCUGUAGCCCUCUAAUACAAGUUAUUGGUGGAUGGAAACUGACCAUAUUCCAACUCUGUUCAUCUCCCUCCCUUGAACUCGAUUUCCACAUAUUCAAUAGCUCCAUAAGAUUUUGGAAGUGUUCAAUCUCUUCAUCAUUUAGGUCCCUCUCAUAUACCAGAAUCCACAAGAUCCCCUAUACUAAUGAAAACUAGUGAAAUCACGAGCUCUCUUGCGGGAACCACUUGGUACAACUUGGAAUGGACUUGUCUUAGGACACUGUCAUAAUGCCUUAGGGCUUUGUUGUCACAUCAUGUGUCCUACCAGAAACGACUACAUGAUCCAUCCCCAAUUUCCCUACAUCCACCUAAGUCCUUUUCAAUCCUAAAUGCCACUUUCCAAAAUCCUGAUUGACGGCCCAUGUCUGAUGAGCCAAAUCUUGAAAUCCUAUCUAAAAGAUCCCUAGCCGUAGCUGUGUUUCGAUCUUUGACCUAAGUUUUACUUAACUAUGGUAAUUGGUCUUUUUCUUUCUUCGUUCCUAAGAACACCAUCACCAUGGUGAGGCUUUGUGGACCCUGGUUACAAUUCAACUUUCCAUCCUAACUGAGCUUGAUAGAUUACACUGGAGGUUCGUUUCAGUUUUACAACCUUCAUUUCCUUUCUUAAGAGUGACUUUCAGUUUUGAUUGAUGCCAGGCACGUUAAUCCUUCAACCCUCUCAUGGAAUGAUGAAAUCCCUUCGAGCAUAAAGUUGCACAAUUUGAAUAUCCAUAAAGCAUAUCUCCAUUGACAUUAUAAUUGCAGCAGUUCUAUUUUUCCCUCAAGGAACCAUGAAAGCAACAGGAGUUGUCGUGCAUGCGUCAUCUCCAAAAGGUUUUGAAUUUGGGCAUUAUUCUAAUUCACAAUACAUCAAGAGUUGAAAUCCUUUUGACACUUAAUGGUCAUGAAACCAUUUAAGUCUUUGGUCACUGAAAAACAUACCUAAUGGACUGCUUCUGUGUUCUAAUCAAAUCGUGUUUCCCUUCCAAGCUUUUGGUUAUUAGGAUCUUAUCACGCUCUAAACUUUUUUUUUUUUGGGAGAGAAGACAAGAAAUUUUUAUUAAAGAACAAACAGAAAGGAGCAGAAACAACAAGAAGGGCUGAGAGAGCGACCUGAAAUUACCCAAGAAAGUCCAGAUUACAACCCUUUAAUUUUUAAACACUACAAGCCCAUUCAAUGAUCAACCCUCUAGCUCUUUGGGAGAUUCCUUCCACCAACUUGCUAGAAUUAUUGAAGCACCUUGCAUUUCUGUCAUCCUAAACAGCCCACCAAAUUGUGAGCAAAGCCAUUCUCCAAAGCAUUUUCCUUAUUGGUCCCUAGGCUCACCCCAUUCCAAGCAUAUAACAAAUAGUCCACCAAUGUCGGGGUGGACCACAUCAUGAGAAAUCGACUCAACGUAUCUGCCCAAAUCAGGCCCAGAAAAGGGCAAUGCAGAAAAAAGUGGUCCACUAAGUCCUCAUUUUGCAUACACAAGCUACAGAUCUUUGGGAUCACCAUAGCUCUUUUCCAAAGAUUGUCAAUGGUUAGAACUUUCUUCCUACCAACCAGCCAUCUGAACGCCGCUAUCUUUGGAGGGAUAUUGUAGAACCAAACAAAACUUGUGCUUCCCACCUCUCUUUGACGAUUAUCCCCUCUCACAAGGGAGUAAAAGGACUUGACCAUGAACUACCCCGAUUUGUCAACCUUCCACAUCAUCUUGUCCAGUUCAGAUAAGACCAGGGUGAAAAAGUGGAUGCGCUCAAGGUGUGCCACGUAGUCCUUGACUUUCUCAUCACGAAGAAACCGUCUACAUGGGGGUUCCUAAAUGACCGAGUCUCCUAUUCGGGAGUAUCUAUCAACUACCAUAACGGACAAAUCCAGGGCCAAACGGAAGAUACUAAGGAAUUCAUCUUUUUACAGUGAGGAUCCCACCCACACAUUUUCCCAAAGUCUGAUUUUUUCACUGUUGCCACUGAGAUGCCUUCCCCGCCCAAGAAAGCUAUCUUCAGAAAAGAGACUCCUUUCCACAAAAUUGAUGCUCUGUAAGCUGAAGAAUCCCUAGUCCACUAACCCCCAAUCGUGGAUCUGUAUUUGCUUUGAACCACCUCUUUCCAAAGCCCCCAUCCUGAACCUCCAAAGCCAUUUCCGGAGCAACACAAUAUUCAUGGACCACGCUCUAAAUUACGUAUAGAAGUGGAGUGUUUUAGGGUCCAUUUGGAUUUAACUCUAGGUUGCGAGUGAAACAACUACUCUGGUGGAAGGGAUGGUUAUCUGCUCUGUUGUGCAUUUGGAACAGCAUUGAACACCAUCAGCUGUUCCGAUGAGUUGCUUGUUUCGAGAUGAUGUUCAUCAAGCUACGGUUCAAAGUUUAGGUGUGUACUUCUUCUCAAUGGUACAAGGUGUCCCAUGGAGGUGCUUCAUGCAAGGUCUCCUGGAUAGCAGGACCAUAAUGUGGUAUGGGAACGGGUACAUGAUGAGGCCAAAUGCAUUAGUGAAGAGGGUACCGGAAUGGAUGUCAGUAUUCUGCUGCGUCCAAGCCUGUGACCUUUCAGAAAUUGAAACAAUGGUUUCAGCAAUAGUCGCUUGCUUGAAAUAUAGUCAUGUAGAUCGCAGCCCUCCCCGCACAGCUUGAUGUGCCCAUGUGGCAUGCCUGUGUGAGAUUCAGGCCAUCCAUCAAGUGGGUCCCACCUUGAGAGAAGCAGCAUACAUUAUCAGGACCUACUCAGGUGCGAUGUUGUUUUUUCUCCAUUAUCCUAAUCUUAGUUUUUUUUUUUCUUCUAUUUAUUUUAUAACUACCAAAUUUCUGCCUGAGUCAGGCGAGUCUUUGAGUCGACCCAACCUGACCGAACCUCAAAACGAGUCGGGUUUUAGGGAUUUUGAACUAUGCUAUUGGACUAUAUGGAUGGACUGUUUGACCAACUUGGGCCGCAUGAUCUCUGGUCCACAGUUGGAUCAUUUAGGAGAAAAUAGUUUCCAAAGAUAGAUUCCUCUUUCAUUGUAGUAGUUUUCUAAUUCAUUUAUUGUUCCCUUUCCCAAAUUGAAAUUUGUUUAGGGUGUGUUUGGUUACA